UACGGGGGGAGCAAGCGUUGUUCGGAUUUACUGGGCGUAAAGAGCUCGUAGGCGGUCUGUCGCGUCGGAUGUGAAAGCCCGGGGCUUAACCCCGGGUCUGCAGUCGAUACGGGCAGACUAGAGUGUGGUAGGGGAGAUCGGAAUUCCUGGUGUAGCGGUGAAAUGCGCAGAUAUCAGGAGGAACACCGGUGGCGAAGGCGGAUCUCUGGGCCAUUACUGACGCUGAGGAGCGAAAGCGUGGGGAGCGAACAGG
This 253-nucleotide ribosomal RNA is filed under the name uncultured bacterium. RNAcentral describes it as "partial 16S ribosomal RNA". It matches the Rfam family "Bacterial small subunit ribosomal RNA", at positions 524 to 776 of the family's 1533-position model. The record is from RNAcentral.